UAAAAAAUAAAAAAAAAUUCAAGAGCUCGAACUAAAGAAUUGGGCACUCAAAGGUCUAUGUCAGCACAGCCGCCUUCGUGGCCGAUAGUUUCAUGCCCUCUUAGACAGCCCAGCCAUCGGGCUCCUCCUCCUCCUCCUCGAAAUUGCUAGGCUAGGUGCUUGUUAGCAAUGGCAGUGAAGCAGAUUUGCAAGCAAUCAAGCAAUGAUGAGUCCGAUUUCGUCAUUGAUGGUGUUGAAGUGGCCAAUAUAACCCUUUGUUUGGAUUUAGAGAAAUGGAGAAAAGAAGCCAAAAGAAAAGAAUUUGAAUUCUAUGUUUUUCCAUGUUUGGACAGCAAACUAAAGCAGAGAAAAGAGGAGAAAGGAGAGAAAAUGGGGGAAAUUUCAUUUACUAACUUCUUUUUAUUCAAUUUGGAGAGAAAUGGAGGGAAAUGGAGAUUAUUGUAUAUCAUUUAUAUUAAAUUGCUUAUAUACCCUUGGUAUCAUAUAAAAAGAAAAUCAUACCUACAUGGCAAUUUAAUAAUUCUAUUAGAAGAGAUAUUUUAUUUCUCAUCUAUUGUAAUAAGGUAUCCAAAAAAAAAAUUCUCUUCUUUUCUUUUCUCUUCAUUUCUGCUCUUUAAUUUCUCCUAAUUUUUUUGCAUAAUUAAGGAUCCAAACAAAGGGUACGUCUCAUCACAACUGGGAAACUGGGAUAAUCUUUGAUUUUAUCUUUUGCGUGUGUGUACUUUGGAAUGAGAUAUUGAGUUGGGGUUCUGAGCUUAAGUGAGCUUAGGCUACAAUUGUGGGGAGGGUGUGCAAAAAGGAAGACAAGCUAGUGAAUUUACCUUCAUUGUUUUGAUGGGACAAGGCAGAUUGGAUGUACAAGAUGGUAUUUAUUGUUGCUUUUUCUCAACAUAUUGUUGUUUUCCAUUUAGCAUUUAUUUAAUGACUAUCUCAUGGUGCUAGGAAUUGUGGUUAUUUUUGUGCCUGUACACGGUUGAAGCACAUGGGACAUGGACGAAGUGGAAGGAAUCAUGGGUGUCUCUUUGAGUGCUUGUAUAAAGCCUUUUUUGUUUUUUCUUAAAAGAAAUACCUGGUGCAAGAAUUCUUGUUGUUGAUUACCUUUUCCUAAAGUAAUCUCAUUUCCUAUAUUGUAUUUCAA
Molecule: long non-coding RNA, 1138 nt
Organism: Manihot esculenta (cassava)
Lineage: Eukaryota; Viridiplantae; Streptophyta; Magnoliopsida; Malpighiales; Euphorbiaceae
Exons: 2
Source: RefSeq, a predicted model, not a curated record